UGGUGCGGGUGCAGCGGGGUGCCUCGAAACUAGUUCCAGUUGAGUCCGCUGCGCGAGAUUGGCGCGUGGCGGUGCAAUAACGUCCGCGUCGGGGUUGUCUAAUCGCGACAGUCCGCGAGAGAAGCUUUUUCUGGCAGGAAAACGGCGCGCCAGACUAAGAGGGGUGGUUUACAGACUCGGUGGGAUUCGAACUGGUGAACAAGGUGAAGUUUCGUGGCCGGGGCCCGCCGGAUUUAACGGAGAGUCGGCAGCAGGGUAGCCGCGGACGUAGGAAAACGUCGACGGACAAGAAAGGAGAGAGUGUGCUAGUGGCGGCCGAAGUGAGAGGGGUAGAAAACGGGGGGGUUCGAUGCGAAAGAGUGAGAAAGUGUGCGCCGUAGGUGGGAGGAGGCAGUGAGAGAAACAGUACGAGUGAGAGCGCUAGAGUAAGGAGUGACAGAAAGAGACAGACAGAGAGAGAGAGAGAGAGAGAGAGCGAGAGAGAGCGAGAAAGAAAGCGAGAACUCGAGAUCGCGGGGGGUGUAGACGGGUUGAAGAGAGCGGAAUCAAGAGGAGGAACAUAGAGAGGGAGAGAGAGAGAGAGAGAGAGAGUGUGAGAGAGAGAAAGAGCGAGAGAGAGAGAGAGAGACGGAGAGAGGGACCACGGGCGCGCGCGCGCGCGCCUCUAUGUGCCAGGAGGAACCAACAGAGAAAGGAAGUGGAGAGGAUCCAGUUGGUCAGGGUAGUUAAGGGUACGAAGAACGGUAGGAAGGCUGGAAAGACGGGAAGGAAUCGUGUUAGUAGCCAGAGAAACCAGCAAUACGGGGGUGACAGCGGUGACCGAGGUAGAACGCGUCGGGUCUGUCCCCCAGAAAGGGACCGUCGCGCGCAACGCGAUCAAUUUUCGUUGCGACGCGGGCGGCGAGACUCGAGGAAACGAAGAAAUGACGACUGCAGCGAGAUACCGAUAACCGGCCAGAUAAUGUUGUCGCAGAGCAAAUUUUACGCUCUCUUUAUCCACUACACGUUUGUGUAGCGCGACACGGGGCGGGUCCUUGCCGCUGCGGUGAAGAACAGAGAUCUAGGAAGAAGAAAAAGAAGGAGAAGAAGAAGAAGAAGAGUGCUGGUGGAGGUGCAAGCAGAAGAACAAAAAAAAACAGACAAGAACUAGAGGAACAAGAGAGCAGGAAGAUAUUCUCGGAGAAUAACUCGAAGAUACUCGAAUAUCUCUCGUUAUCUGCAUCGCGAAGGAACGAACAAGGGAGCUAGACAGAGAGAGGGAGAGAGAGGGAGAGAAUCAAAGAGCGAGAGAGAGCGAGCGAGAGAGAGAGCGAGAGAGAGAGAGAGCGAGAGAGGGAGAGAACGUGCGAGAUAGAGACAGAAAGCGAGAGAUAGACAGAUAAAGACAGAGAGAGACAAGAAAUAAAAAGUUUGUCGUGGUACGGUGUUAAGUUUACAGUGUACGUUGCUUGGUAGUGUGCUACCCUUGCCGAGGCUGAACAAGCAAGGCCCGCGGAGGUAUCUCAGAACCCGCCCCUCCUCGACGUCGCAGUGCCUCUUCUCCAUAUCGCUACGUCGUGCUUCUUUUCGUUUAAGCGGCGACUAUCUACGCUACCGGAGAAACUCCUCGACCAUAAGUAUCGAUCGACUUGGAAAUCAGACUAUGUUAUUUCGGAUAACGGAUUGAUCGCACCCGUCGCUUCAUUCACACGUCGGACAUGAAAAAUCUUGGUUCGCGUUGGACGGUCCCCGACAUAGCACGCACUGCCGCAGCGCGUUCGUCAUUUCUCAUCGCCAUUUCGUCGGAACGAGAUUCAGGUAGCAGCAGAAAUAGUAUCAGCAGCAGCAGCAGCAGCAGCAGCAGCAGCAGCAGCAGCGGCAGCAGCAGCGGCGGCAGCAGCAGCAGCGGCAGCGGC
Megalopta genalis is the source of this 1895-nucleotide non-coding RNA. Lineage: Eukaryota; Metazoa; Arthropoda; Insecta; Hymenoptera; Halictidae. The record is from RefSeq and is a predicted model, not a curated record.